RNAcentral lists this transfer RNA (638 nucleotides) under Acinetobacter schindleri. The stretch from base 63 to 136 matches the Rfam family "tRNA". The record is from RNAcentral. Lineage: Bacteria; Pseudomonadati; Pseudomonadota; Gammaproteobacteria; Moraxellales; Moraxellaceae.
ACGAAAGAUUGACGAUUGGUAAGAAAUCCACAACAAGUUGUUCUUCAUGACGAUGUAUCUGAGGGUCUGUAGCUCAGUUGGUUAGAGCACACGCUUGAUAAGCGUGGGGUCACAAGUUCAAGUCUUGUCAGACCCACCAUCUGCAAACAGAAAAUCAGAACAUUGAAUCCUAUAUGAUAAGCUGGGGACUUAGCUUAGUUGGUAGAGCGCCUGCUUUGCACGCAGGAGGUCAGGAGUUCGACUCUCCUAGUCUCCACCACUCAUUGCGAUGCAAUGAGUUAAACAUUAAGCAAACGAACUGAUAGCUUAUAGAGCUUAGUGAUUAAGUUGCGUAUAAUGCGCGGCAUUGUUAUUAAGCUCUGUGAUUUAUCACAGUUGACUGUAGUCCGACGAGGAUACAGUGAAUCAUUAACAGAAUAUAUUUGAGUUGAAAUAAUUUGUUCAAACUCGUUUCAAGUAGGCAACUACAAGAAAUGAGUUCUAGCGAUUAAACUGAAUCAAGCGUUUUGGUAUAUGAAUCUAAUUGAAGCUGUACAGUGCUUAAGUGCACGAAACUCUAACUGUGAGAAAGGCUAGUUUACUAGUUGAUCUUGUUGUUAAUCUUACUUGUAAGGAUUAACGACUGUUUGGGGUUGUAU